Molecule: non-coding RNA, 51 nt
Organism: Vibrio breoganii 1C10
Lineage: Bacteria; Pseudomonadati; Pseudomonadota; Gammaproteobacteria; Vibrionales; Vibrionaceae
Source: Rfam
CGUGUGGUGUUCAGCAUAGAACUGGAUAGCGACACGGCCUAUAAAUGAGGU